Molecule: long non-coding RNA, 474 nt
Organism: Etheostoma spectabile (orangethroat darter)
Lineage: Eukaryota; Metazoa; Chordata; Actinopteri; Perciformes; Percidae
Exons: 3
Source: RefSeq, a predicted model, not a curated record
GGACCGAGCACCUGGUGUGUAUGGAUCUGAACAUCCUCAUCGAUUACUUUAGGGAGGUGUGGUCCCAGACAUCAUGGCUCCCUCACUGCAUCCCAGCGUAGAAAGGAAGCAACACAAGGAAAGAGGCCGUCCGUCUCUUUAGCCUGGAGCUCCCAAACCGCACAGCCGGCCAGUUCGCGGUGGCCUUUUAUUAUGAUGUCAGCACUUCACUUAAAGAGCAUUCAAUAUCUCCAGGACGGUUGUUGGUGGAACAUCAAUAGAAUAAUACAGACACAAACUGGAUGGCUAUUCCUCAUAGCCGUGAAGUAAAGCAAUUUGAACACUGGGCCCUAGUAUGACCUUUGAUUAUGAGAGGAAUACAGCGGUGCUCAUAUCCCAGGCCUCUCGGUUCCCUCGCAACAUGAUGAAUGGGACACCUCAGCUGCAGGACAAAACAACUAUUCGAGGAUCCAGGGUGACACACACACACACACA